RNAcentral lists this transfer RNA (90 nucleotides) under Hyphomicrobiales bacterium. RNAcentral's name for it is "tRNA-Ser". It matches the Rfam family "tRNA". Rfam says of the family: Transfer RNA (tRNA) molecules are approximately 80 nucleotides in length. Their secondary structure includes four short double-helical elements and three loops (D, anti-codon, and T loops). Lineage: Bacteria; Pseudomonadati; Pseudomonadota; Alphaproteobacteria; Hyphomicrobiales. The record is from RNAcentral.
GGAAGGGUGGCCGAGCGGUUUAAGGCAACGGUCUUGAAAACCGUCGUGGGCGCGAGUUCACCGUGGGUUCGAAUCCCACCCCUUCCGCCA